Non-coding RNA from Trichonephila clavata, 74 nucleotides. The record is from the annotation of a GenBank genome assembly. Lineage: Eukaryota; Metazoa; Arthropoda; Arachnida; Araneae; Nephilidae.
GUCCUUGUAGCGCAAUGGAUAACGCGUUUUGACUUCUGAUCCAAAGGUCGUGGAUUCGAAUUCCACCAGGGAUG